AUUGAACGCUGGCGGCAGGCUUAACACAUGCAAGUCGAGCGGAGUGAUGGUGCUUGCACUAUCACUUAGCGGCGGACGGGUGAGUAAUGCUUAGGAAUCUGCCUAUUAGUGGGGGACAACAUCUCGAAAGGGAUGCUAAUACCGCAUACGUCCUACGGGAGAAAGCAGGGGAUCACUUGUGACCUUGCGCUAAUAGAUGAGCCUAAGUCGGAUUAGCUAGUUGGUGGGGUAAAGGCCUACCAAGGCGACGAUCAGUAGCGGGUCUGAGAGGAUGAGCCGCCACACUGGGACUGGGAAACGGCCCAGACUCCUACGGGAGGCAGCAGUGGGGAAUAUUGGACAAUGGGGGGAACCCUGAUCCAGCCAUGCCGCGUGUGUGAAGAAGGCCUUAUGGUUGUAAAGCACUUUAAGCGAGGAGGAGGCUCUUUUGGUUAAUACCCAAGAUGAGUGGACGUUACUCGCAGAAUAAGCACCGGCUAACUCUGUGCCAGCCGCCGCAGUAA
RNAcentral lists this ribosomal RNA (503 nucleotides) under uncultured bacterium. RNAcentral describes it as "partial 16S ribosomal RNA". It matches the Rfam family "Bacterial small subunit ribosomal RNA", at positions 30 to 523 of the family's 1533-position model. The record is from RNAcentral.